UACGUAGGGAGCGAGCGUUGUCCGGAAUUACUGGGUGUAAAGGGCGUGUAGGCGGCAUGGCAAGUCAGAUGUGAAACCUCGGGGCUUAACUCCGAGCAUGCAUUUGAAACUGCUGUACUUGAGUGCAGGAGAGGUAAGCGGAAUUCCCGGUGUAGCGGUGAAAUGCGUAGAGAUCGGGAGGAACACCAGUGGCGAAGGCGGCUUACUGGACUGCAACUGACGCUGAGGCGCGAAAGCGUGGGGAGCAAACAGG
Molecule: ribosomal RNA, 253 nt
Filed under: uncultured bacterium
Lineage: Bacteria
Description: partial 16S ribosomal RNA
Rfam family: Bacterial small subunit ribosomal RNA
Source: RNAcentral